AAGACGGAAUAAAAAAUAGUAAAUAGGCAAUUUCGUCCCUGACUUAUUUUUUGCAUCAAUUUCGUCCAUGACUUUGCACUUUUACAUCAAUUUCGUUCCUAAUUUUUCGGUUACUUCAAUUUGAUUAUCGAUUUUGCACAGUUACAUCAAUUUAGUCCAUGACUUUGUGCAGUUACACAAGUUAGUACUACAGUUUCAUCAAUUUGGUCCUUGUGUGGGGUGGUUGCAUCGAUCACGUCAGAAUGCCACAUCAAUUUGAUCCCCUGCUACAUCAAUUUGGUCCUGCGUUAAGUAGGUCCCUGACUGUGUUAAAUGAUGCAAAUUGUUACAUCAAUUUGGUCCUCGUGCUACAUCAAAUUAGUCCCUACACUAUUUCAAGGUGGUUAUCUUCAUCCUUGUCAUCGUAACGAGUCUCUUCAUCAAACAGAGGAGUGGGAUCGAGACGUACAGUGUCCUUAGCCCAUUGGAUGAUCUUCUCGACUUUAUCAUCCUCAUCGUCAGAGUUCAAGCAGCUAGGGUCUUGAUCUCAGCUGUCGCAAGCGAACGAUAUCCCUGAGGGGACUAGAUUCGCGAAGCCACAGAAGGAAAAGAUGAUGAGGACGAGGAAGGAUGAAGAGAACCAUUGAGAGCAGAGAAUCGAGCAGAGAGAUCAUCGCCUAAAACAGCUUUCAGCUGGUCGUCAACGUACUAGUUGAGGGAAAGCUUCAAAAGGACAUUGCUGUGUGCGGCAAGCUGCUCCACUUCGUCCAUACUUAAAGGUGGAUUUCUGAGGGUCGGAGGGAGAGGUAACUGAGCAAGCCCUGAAAUUCCAUCUUCGUAAGGGGAAUGACGGGGCAUGGGUGGUUGGGAUGAGGGAAGGGUUCCUCUUCUUUCUGGAGAAAAAUGCGAUGGAAUGGGGGCUGGAUAGCAGCCGAGGUUCAUCGCGGGGGCAUAGUGGAGAGAAGUUGAGCGAGAAAUGAAAGCUCGCACAAGGAGAGGAAGAAGAAGAUGGAGGAGAAAACAUUCGUUUGAAGUAGGACGGUAAAACAAAGAGAAAGGGGAGAGAGAGAGAGAGAAGAUAUAUAUAUAUAUAUAUAUAUAUAGAGAGAGAGAGAGAGAGAAAAAGAUAAGGUAGAUGAAUAAUAUGAUAAUUUGAUGUUACAUUAAUUUGUCCAGUCGUUACAUCAGUUCAGUCUCUUAACAAAUUAAUGGAACAGUAACACCAUCUGCCUCUUAGUCACUCGGAUUAGAAUGAUGUAACCAAGAAUCGCUCUGAUGUGACGUCAAAACUCAGGAACUUGUGUUGCGAAAGUUAAAGAUUAAAUUGAUGUAACCGUGAAAAAUUAUGAAUUAAAUUGAUGUAACCAUGCAAAGUCGGGGAUGAAAUUGAAUCAAAAAAUAAGUCAUGAAAGAAAUUAAUGCAAAAAAUAAGUUAUAAACGAAAUUGAUGCAAUUUACAAAAAUUUGGAAUGGAAUUGUCUAUUUACUCAAAAAAAAAAAGUUCAAUCCCGCCAAAGAAAUCUCUAAAACCCAAAAAAUUGAAAACCCCGCUCGACCCCUCUGCUCUUUCCCCCCAAAUCCCUAAAACCUAAUUUGUCUCUCUCUCUCUCUCUCUCUCUCUCUCUCUCUCUCGUCCUCGGCGCACUCUCUGCUGCUGCCUGGCUUUUUCGAUUCGUUGAACGGAAAAACCUCCCCAUCGGCAUGUUCCUCCGCUACCGCCAAAGCCAGAGAUAGUCUUCCCUCCCCCUCCUCUCUUUCUCUCGCUACAAAAUUCCCCGGGAAACAAGCGGGGAAUUUUCUCGGGGAAGCCAUGUUUGACGCUCUGAUCAACGGGCUCGCAGGAGCGCGGGCGGAGGGGAGGGGGUGGCGGGCGCAUCAUCUCCCAGCUCAUCACGUAUCCUCUCCAAACUGUAAAUACGAGGCAGCAGACAGAGCGUGACCUAAAGAAGGAGAAGAGGAAAAUUGGCACCGUUGAGCAAAUGUGUCAAGUACGAGCUCGAUCUGUUGUUGUUUCAGAUGGAAAGGGCUUCGCAGUUCUGCUCUGGCUGUUGAUUUUUGACCAGAGGAUUGGAAAUAUCAGCUGACGAACCCUUCUCUCUUGCGAAACCCUCCUUACUAUGAAAUGUUCAUCUGAGAUUCCAAAAUCCAAUUAGCAAAUCCAUGAAAUGUUGAUUUUUCCAUGAUUUCAUUGCUUGUCCCAAAGGGGUAGUUUUGUUGUGAAUUCUUGAGGCUACAGCUCUCAGCAAGGGAGGCUUGUACUGUUCUGUUCUAUUCUGUUAAUCUGCUCGCUUGUAUUGCACUAUCUCAUUUGUACUGUUGGAA
This is a non-coding RNA of Punica granatum (pomegranate), 2301 nucleotides long. Lineage: Eukaryota; Viridiplantae; Streptophyta; Magnoliopsida; Myrtales; Lythraceae. The record is from RefSeq and is a predicted model, not a curated record.